GCGCCUGUAGUUUAGUUGGAUAGAAUAUCAGGCUACGAACUUGAAGAUCGGGGGUUCGAAUCCCUCCAGGCGCACCA
RNAcentral lists this transfer RNA (77 nucleotides) under Clostridium sp. 27_14. RNAcentral describes it as "tRNA-Arg". It matches the Rfam family "tRNA". From Rfam's summary of the family: Transfer RNA (tRNA) molecules are approximately 80 nucleotides in length. Their secondary structure includes four short double-helical elements and three loops (D, anti-codon, and T loops). Further hydrogen bonds mediate the characteristic L-shaped molecular structure. tRNAs have two regions of fundamental functional importance: the anti-codon, which is responsible for specific mRNA codon recognition, and the 3' end, to which the tRNAs corresponding amino acid is attached (by aminoacyl-tRNA synthetases). tRNAs cope with the degeneracy of the genetic code in two manners: having more than one tRNA (with a specific anti-codon) for a particular amino acid; and 'wobble' base-pairing, i.e. permitting non-standard base-pairing at the 3rd anti-codon position. The record is from RNAcentral. Lineage: Bacteria; Bacillati; Bacillota; Clostridia; Eubacteriales; Clostridiaceae.